RNAcentral lists this long non-coding RNA (1143 nucleotides) under Monodelphis domestica (gray short-tailed opossum). Its description in RNAcentral is "lncRNA (ENSMODG00000028189.1)". The record is from RNAcentral. Lineage: Eukaryota; Metazoa; Chordata; Mammalia; Didelphimorphia; Didelphidae.
AUGGGGUCCCCCCCAACUCUACGGGAUGCACCUCACUGGGCCCUCAGGGCCGCAAGGCAAGCCUGUGACAUCUCCCUAAUUCGCUCCCCCUCAGGCCUCCCCCUUCUUAUCAGCCGCUUCCUAGCGCAGCACCCCACCUGUUUGCUUCUCUCCCUGCCUCACCCCUGGCUCAGACCUCGCCAGACAACCCCACGGCGGCCCACCCCUCCAACACCACCCUUGUGUGGUCCCCCGGGGCACCCACAAACAAGUGGGGGGCUCUCCCAUGCUCACACGCCCUCACCUGGACCUUCCGUCUACACCAGGCGCCUCCCCCUGCUCUCCCCAGGUCACCAAGCACUGCACUGGUGCCGGGGCGCUGUCCAGCCUCCCUGGAACACACGUUCGGGCUGGGUUUUCAGGACCCCUGGGUCUCCUCAGGCUCUGCUGCUGCUCUGCCUCCACAGGUGCCGUUAUCUGGCUGUGGCCCGCCUGCCCUUCCAUUCGCUGGGUCACUUGGGGAGCUCAUCAGCUCCCCUGGGUCUCCUGUCCUCACUGCGGAGCCCCCCCAGCUCCGGCUGCCACCUCCGAGCAGCUUCUGCUCUCUCCCCUUCCUCGGCCCUGGCAGACCUCACCCUUCCUGUCCAGUCUGUCUGCCUGACAUCCCUGAAGGGAUCACCCGGCUGCGUCCACUGCCCCCUCCGGAUCCCUGGGAGCUCCAGGCUGCCAGGGCCUCCCUGUCCUCCCAGGACCAACCAGAAGGUCUUCUUUGGUCCCUCGAGGCCAUCCUGCACGCUGUGGUCCUCUGGCGCUGCCCUCCCCGCCGGUGAUUUCCGGGGCCCGGCCACUGUCCGGCGUCCCCUAGCCUGGACCUCUGUCUCUCCACAUCCCCCCUCCUGGCACCCCGAAGCCUCUCGGGCCUCAUCACUCCCUUCACCGGCUCUCCAGUUUGCGCUGGGCCCCACAUUAGGCUGCGGGGAGCAGAGGCGGCUUUACUCUGCUGGUAGGCCCGUGCUGGGCGCACCAGAGGCUGGCGCUGGUGCUGACGGGCUCAUCCUGGAGGCUCGGCAGGAAGAUCUAGGCUUCCACACUCCCUGCUGGGGGAUACAGGGAAGCUGCAGAGGCUCCCUGGAGUGGGAGGGGCUGAUUCCUGACAGAGACUGA